Molecule: non-coding RNA, 4458 nt
Organism: Meleagris gallopavo (turkey)
Lineage: Eukaryota; Metazoa; Chordata; Aves; Galliformes; Phasianidae
Source: RefSeq, a predicted model, not a curated record
CCCUCUGCCGGCGGAGCAGCGCCGUGUGGCGGAGGUGAGCGAUUCCUCCGCAGAGCCGCGGCGCGCGGUGCGUGACUCAGCGCUGCUCUCGGAGGUGCGGCGGCCCGCGCAGGCGCUGGCCUCAAGAAGCUCUGUGGCUGUCGGCAGUAACCGACCUGUGGCUCUCUAGAGGAAUUGGGACUGACUGUUCUUCGGUGAGAAACCUGCCAGAAAGACGAACUUAAACUGAGGUGAUGCGCGUUUUUAACAAGCGAUCUCCUCCCUCUGGCAGUGCUCAGUGUGCAACCGUCUGCGUUGCAUGGGAAAAUCGCGCAGGGACUCCCGGAAGGAGCAGCUCGGUGCACAAAGCACUGCAGCGAUGCCCUGCGCCGGGACGAGGCCUGCGCUUUGCCCAGCCCCGCUCCAGCACAUGCAGGCUCCUGCAGGAUUGGGAACUGCGCAUCGGUUCAUUGCAGUGUUGCAGUGUUGCAAUGCCUAAAGCCCUUCAGAAAGCAAAGCUCCUGGCGCCUUUGCUGCCUGUUUGGAUACCUCCAUUUCCAGCUGCUGGUGACAUGUUUCCCGUGGGCUGCUCAGACACCAGCUGCCUCUCGGUGUGAGGAACUCUGUGCAGCUGCUAUGUGCCGCCCAGAAUGCAGCGAGCCGAUGCGACGCUGGGGCACAGCAGCAGAACACUGCUUUCCUCCCCUGUACAGUCAGCUCGAGAAUGCUGACGGCAGCAAAUGUCCUCCUGCCUAAAUACCCAGGAGCUGUUAUCAGUGAGGGGCAGAAGGUGAAGCUUUGGGCUCUGGCAUCAUCCCAAGUGGUGCCAGCCGCUCUGCCAGCACGGGGCGGCCCUGCAGAGACGUGGCAGCACUCUGUGUUGUGGAGGAAAGGUUGGCCUGAAGAGAUCCGUCGGCAGCAACGGCACGUUCAUCACUCAGCAGGUUUUAAUAACUGUAGUCACUAUUGGCACGUCGUGCUGAAGACCAAAGCUAAUGAAUCUCCAUUCACACCCGGGGCAUGAAGUGCUCCAGACCCAAGCACUGUGUGGGGAUGCAGGGGCUGCCGACCUCUGCUCUGCUUUCCUUCCACUGCUUUCCCCAAAGCACGGAGUGGCGGUGAGCGGCGUCAGUAAAAUGCUGACACUGGAAGCGGUGUCUGCAGCUCUGCCUGCUGCUCAGUGCGUUUGCCGUGCAAAACUCCACCGAAGCUUCUGGAGGCUGCAUGCAGUCCAGAGCAGUUUCUGGAACCAGAGGCAAAGCUGUAUUUCGUGCUGCCGUGUCUUCAGCCACCAGUAUUUGCUCAGGUCUGUGAAGCAGGAGCAGCAGCACCUCUCUCAGGGGACCUCCUUGUUUUCCUCUCCAUGCAUGAGUCUGGCAGCCACAGGGCAGCACAGAGAAUUAAAAAUGGGCUCCUGCAGGAGGAUGAGAGGCUGGGAGCCUGCUAAUUAUAGCUCUGUCCAGAAACCCACCUGCAGCCUAAAGGCAGAUCACACUGUGUGCCUGAGGACAGGCACCUCGUGCUGUCAGUGGGACUCCCACUGGGUUUUCAGGAGCUCUGCAGCCCCGUGUGCAGCACUGCUGAGCCCGGCUGCCAUCCUGGAUGAGCAUUUUUUUCCAGACUUAACUCUUCUUUAUUGUGUGUAAACUAAAGUCCAUUUCCACCCUCUCCAGUGGCCCUGCAGCUGGCAGCAUUACCUCAGAUACCUCCAGAACGUCGUCUUUGGAAGCUGGUGUUAAGUGAUGUUGGAAACAUCUCCUCUGCAGGAGCAGCAUUUUCGUCCUUCAUUGUGCAGCACACUGUGAGGCUUUGUGAGCCCAUGCAGGCACAGGUGAAUGGGAUCCCUGUUAUACCAUAAAUAAUGCAAAAGUUGUAACUGGCCCAUGAUAUGAGCAUGCUGCACCACGCUGCUCAGGAAGGUCUGCCAGGAACGUCUGCUUAAGCAGAGCUGUGAUUUGUUGAAACAACACUGCCCAUCAGAGACCAAUAUAGCAGGUUAACUGUAGCAGGAAGACUGGGAUUCUGGCUGGCUGUGGAGCAUGAACAGCCUGCCCACAGGUGGAAGCAGCCAGCAUGUUCCUCAAUGCUUCUGCCAAACUAAAUGAGCAGCAGUGGUGAGAAACAUGAUCUCCUCGAGGGAGGAAGCAGGAGAUGUGCUUCCAUUGCUCAGCAGAUUUGAAAGAGCAGCAGAGAUCAAUGCUGGCUCGUCUGUCACAGUGUACAUCAUUGCUUGCCCGUGUUUCAAGGACCUGGAGCUUUUUUGAGAGCUCUGCAUAUGAUGAAAGUUUUCCCCAUAGAAACAGCUCAAUCUCACAUGAAACUAUCCAGCAUUAUCACGUUGGGCUUGGGACUCACAGAACCCGAGUUCAAGCGUUUUGCCAACAACCCCCUCUGCAGUUUUAGGUUGCUCACUUAUGCUGUUACCUGCUGCUCACCUAUGGAGUUGCAGAAGGUGUUCCCCAGCCCUGCACCCUGCCUCUAGCAGCAGGGAGGGCUGCUGCGUGCAGUGGCUGUGAGCUGGGGGGUCGGGAUGCAUUCACAGUGCACUUCUGUAGCACGGUGCCAAAGCCCAACAUCUGCUUCCCAGUGAUUUUUUCCAUUCGCAACCAUGUUAUUUCUCAUCUGUGAUUGCAGAGCUCGGGUGUUUACCAGCACCACGUGCUCAAAGACAUGGACCUACAUUUUUUAGAUUCUUUCUGUGAAAUACAACCCUGUUUCCAGACAGGAUGCAGUGUUGGCAGAAGUGCAGAUUUCUCACAUGAGGAACAGAGCCUGCAGGUCUCAGGGCCGCUGUGCCGCACUGUGGAUCCGAAGCACCACACACCAGGAGAGCUUUGCGUGCUGCUGGGGAACUGGGACCCACAGAGCCCAUGGAUAACCUGAUCCCAAGUCAGGUAAUGCUUCUUGGGGCAACACUUCCACAGCUGUGAUGAGAUAUAUAUACGGCUUCAUAUAUAUAGCACUGUAAGGUUCCACUGUCAUUUACUGGUAAGUGCAAAUAAAUCUGUUUCUUUGGCUGCAGGAGCACACAGGGCAGCUGGAGAGGCUGUAAAAUAACUCCUGUGCAGCCAGAUCCCAUUCAGUGAAUUCUCACAGCCCACACAGAGCUGUUUCCCAGUGACUUCUGUGCAGCCACAGGCAGCCAACAAGUUGCUGCACACCACUGCACACUGCUACACACUGCUGCUCACUGCUGCACACUACAGCACGAUGCUGCACACUGCUGCAUGCCUCUGCUACACUGCUACACAGCACCGCACGCUGCUGCACACCGCCGCGUGGCUUCUGAACCAGGAACCAGCUGUGGAGCUCACAUCACUGCUGCAAAGCCAUGCUGGGCCAUGUUGUGCAGGACUGAGCCCCACAGACCUCGUUUCACUGACUCACAUGGUAACAUGGUAACGUUUUUCUCUUUAACAUUUCCAGUAACAUUGCAACACAUUUCACAGAAUGCUAUUUAAGGUCAUGCCCUUGGCAGUUUGGUACUAAAACCUCACAACUGUAAUUUUCCACUACUCAGAGCAAAGCGAUUUGGGAAAGGCUGUGAUGCAGGCAGGGAAAGGGUUGGGAGCACGCAGGUGCUUCCAUGGGGGAAAUGCCCUUCCAAGCACACGGGAAGCACUCGGUGCCGGGCAGAACAUGCUGGUACCUGAGCAGGGCACUGCCAGUGCACAAAGAAAACUGGGGGAAUGCUUCUAUGUUGGGAUGUAACUCUGAACGGAAAAGGUCUUCCAGAAGUUGGCUCCAGGCCCUCAUGCUUCUUCAGGUGCCGUAAUACAAUGAGGUUCCCAGGCAGAGUGCUAACAACUGAACGCCGGCAGGGCGCAGUUCCAGCAGGGCUGUUGGGACCAUUCCCCACUGAGCCACAGCCCCCGGCUGCUGCAGGGGAUCCGUUCCUGGGAGGCACUGUUGGCACACGCAGCACACGGCCCUGCUGGCCCUGCUCCUCUCACUGCAGCCCCCAUCGCCAGGCAAACUGCUCCAUCCACUCUGGGCUUUAACCUCUGUCAUCAUAUCAACCUGAUUUUCUGCUAAAAGGAAAAUGAAAUGUGUCUUUCUGGCUCCACUUUGCAAAAGACAAAGAACUAAGAGUAUGUGUGACAUGACAAAACCUCCAUCUAACCUUCUCCUUGGGCAUUAUUAAUAGUAAAUGCAUAUUGGGUGGUUUCGCAACGACCUUGAGAGCAAGUGACACAUCUCAUCUACCAGGGCGCAGUUCUCCAGGCAUUUUGGAAAAGGAAAUCCUUAUUUUUAUUAACUUAUGGGAGAAAAAGAAAAGCACUAUCUUGUGCAUGCAGUUUUUUCCAAUGUCCCAAAACGCCCAACACAGAGAUGCCCGCUGGUUUUGGUGGCUUACCUGCAAGCACUGUAUUUACUGUGAGCAAAUGAAGAAGAAAUAAAAUUCAACUUCGACCUCCUUUCAAUUUGCAAGUUAUGAAAAAUGCUUCUAGAAGGGAGCUAAUAAACGUGAUGGAUGUG